GGAAAAGGGGGUAGAUUAUUGAAUCUCCUUUUAAACUAAAAUAACCACUAGUCUCAAAUAGUUAACAUUGGUAUGGAUUUUUUUUUAUAGUGGUACAAUUUUCUUUUUUCCAGACAGGGUUUCUCUGUGUAGCUUUGUAGACCAGGCUAGUCUCCAACUCACAGAGAUCUGCCUGCCUCUGCCUCCUGAGUGUUGGCAUUAAAGGCAAGCACCACCAUAGUGAUACAUGAUCCCAGCCAUAGGAUACAAAUUUAAGGUUAUUUUUGUUACAUUGUAUAUGUGUUUCUACUCUUGUUUAAGGUAUUUUUGUAUAUUGAUUCAAAUUUAGGGUUAUUUUUGUUAUACUGUAUAUGUUUCUGCCCUUGUUUAAGGUGUUUUACCUAUGCAGCUCAUUUAACAAUGUGAAGUUCUAAUACUUAAAAAUUAUUAUUAAAAACUAUUUAGGAUAAUUAAUAAGUACAGGUUAGUAGUUAGUCAUCUAUAGUAAUCAAAUUUGUGACCAUGUUUGGUAUGUUUUCUAGGCUAAACAGAGAUAUAGUUUAGAUAGAUGGUUUUUAAACACUUCAGAGACCUAUAGAAUAUGGCAUUUAAAAUGUUUUAAUAACAUAAGGCUUUCAUGACAGACAGCAAGACAAGUCUGCUACUGGUAGCACCAAUGUAUUUAAAAAGGAUGACAGGAGUUCGAGGCCAGCCUGGUCUACAGAGUGAGUUCUAGGACAGCUUCCAAAGCUAUAGAGAAACCCCGUUUUGAAAAACCAAAGAAAAGAAAAGAAAGAAAAAAAAAAGGAUGAUGGGAAUUGAGGAAUCUCCAUUUGGAGUUUGCUUUCAUUGUGCAAAGUUAGCCACUGGGCAAAAACUGCCCUUGCCUGGACUGCUGACAGUAUUUGUCCAAAUUGGACAAGCAGGGCUCAAAAGAAGGUGACUGCUGAACUUCGCCAAGACAAGGUAAGACAGUCCUUCAAAAUUUCUACUUCACACAAGUCUGUCAGAUAUUCUAGGCCUGUAGGCCAAAGAUGGAUGCUCUAACAUUACAGAGGAAUCUUGGGUGACUGUCCAGGCAGCCAGAUGUCUCUUUCUAUAGCUUUGGAAUUUGCUUUCUCCGAACGACCUGUUGACUCAGUGGAGGAAGAAGAGCUGUCUGUAGGCACCCGUGUCUGUGUUCUGAGUACAUCAGCUCCUCUGUCUCCAGUAUGGCCUCUGCCCAUGGACUUCACUUCAGGC
Molecule: long non-coding RNA, 1221 nt
Filed under: Cricetulus griseus (Chinese hamster)
Lineage: Eukaryota; Metazoa; Chordata; Mammalia; Rodentia; Cricetidae
Description: lncRNA (ENSCGRG00015034567.1)
Source: RNAcentral